This 543-nucleotide ribosomal RNA is filed under the name Levilactobacillus zymae. Its description in RNAcentral is "bacterial SSU rRNA". It matches the Rfam family "Bacterial small subunit ribosomal RNA", at positions 55 to 565 of the family's 1533-position model. Lineage: Bacteria; Bacillati; Bacillota; Bacilli; Lactobacillales; Lactobacillaceae. The record is from RNAcentral.
AUGCAGUCGACGAGUUCCCGUUGAUUGACGUGCUUGCACUGAUUUCAACAUUGGAACGAGUGGCGAACUGGUGAGUAACACGUGGAAAACCUGCCCAGAAGCAGGGGAUAACACUUGGAAACAGGUGCUAAUACCGUAUAACAACAAAAACCGCAUGGUUUUUGUUUGAAAGGUGGCUUCGGCUAUCACUUCUGGAUGGUUCCGCGGCGCAUUAGCUAGUUGGUGAGGUAAAGGCCCACCAAGGCAAUGAUGCGUAGCCGACCUGAGAGGGUAAUCGGCCACAUUGGGACUGAGACACGGCCCAGACUCCUACGGGAGGCAGCAGUAGGGAAUCUUCCACAAUGGACGAAAGUCUGAUGGAGCAAUGCCGCGUGAGUGAAGAAGGGUUUCGGCUCGUAAAACUCUGUUGUUGAAGAAGAACGGGUGUCAGAGUAACUGUUGACAUCGUGACGGUAUUCAACCAGAAAGCCACGGCUAACUACGUGCCAGCAGCCGCGGUAAUACGUAGGUGGCAAGCGUUGUCCGGAUUUAUUGGGCGUAAAG